AUAGAACGCUGGCGGCAUGCUUUACACAUGCAAGUCGAACGGCAGCACGGACUUCGGUCUGGUGGCGAGUGGCGAACGGGUGAGUAAUACAUCGGAACGUACCCAGUAAUGGGGGAUAACUAUCCGAAAGGAUAGCUAAUACCGCAUACGCCCUACGGGGGAAAGAGGGGGAUCGCAAGACCUCUUGUUAUUGGAGCGGCCGAUGGCUGAUUAGCUAGUUGGUAGGGUAAAGGCCUACCAAGGCAACGAUCAGUAGCGGGUCUUAGAGGACGGUCCGCCACACUGGAACUGAGACACGGUCCAGACUCCUACGGGAGGCAGCAGUGGGGAAUCUUGGACAAUGGGCGCAAGCCCGAUCCAGCAAUGCCGCGUGCGUGAAGAAGGCCUUCGGGUUGUAAAGCGCUUUUGUCAGGGAGCAAAUCCUUGUGGCUAAUACCCACCGGAGAUGAGAGUACCUGAAGAAUAAGGACCGGCUAACUACGUGCCAGCCGCCGCAGUAA
This 500-nucleotide ribosomal RNA is filed under the name uncultured bacterium. RNAcentral describes it as "partial 16S ribosomal RNA". It matches the Rfam family "Bacterial small subunit ribosomal RNA", at positions 31 to 523 of the family's 1533-position model. The record is from RNAcentral.